Molecule: long non-coding RNA, 949 nt
Filed under: Homo sapiens (human)
Lineage: Eukaryota; Metazoa; Chordata; Mammalia; Primates; Hominidae
Description: cardiac mesoderm enhancer-associated non-coding RNA, transcript variant 2 (CARMN)
Rfam family: mir-143 microRNA precursor family (bases 710-793)
Source: RNAcentral
AGCUCAUAUAAGGUAAAAGGCAGAGUGGCCUCUGUGGCCAGGGAGCCGCAGGCAAGGGACUAAGGGGAGGGGGGCUCAGUGCCAGCUGCUUAAAAAUGCCCCUGUGGCAGCGAGGGGCACCAGAGGCUGGGUCUAAUUAGUUGAGAAGCAGUGACACCCCCAACCACUCCCCAAACAGGCUGGCUCCCGUCUCCAGGCCCCAAGGAGCCACACCUGGACCAGACCCCAGGAAAGGCAAGGGCGCUAGCUGGUGGGAGCCACCCCGCCAUGCUGAUGUCAGAGAAGCAAGAACUCUGGAGAAGCAGCCUCCUGGGACCAGAGGAGGGCCAGCAGCAGGCAGCCCGGAGACAGAACUCUCACCCACGCCUCUCCAAGCCUCCCAACAGAAGACAGAGGUCCCCCACAGCCAGAGACAUUUCCUGAAGACAUGGGGAACACAGAGGCAGAAACAGCCCAUCCACCCAGGAGCUGUCCCCCACACUGCCGGGAGCCGGCACCCAGAGCCGCCAGGUAAAACUGAGGCCACCUGGUUCAACAUCACCUUUCACAGAAGGGGAAGCAGCCACAGAAAGAAGGGCCUCGUUAAGAAGUGGAACCUGGGACCCCCAAGCGGUGUCUCUCAUCCUGACUGGGGAUCCAGAGUAGGAGGGAGCCUUUGGUGGGGUUGGAGUCCCGCCACAGGCCACCAGAGCGGAGCAGCGCAGCGCCCUGUCUCCCAGCCUGAGGUGCAGUGCUGCAUCUCUGGUCAGUUGGGAGUCUGAGAUGAAGCACUGUAGCUCAGGAAGAGAGAAGUUGUUCUGCAGCCAUCAGCCUGGAAGUGCCUGGCUGGUGGGCCUUCUUGCAGUAGCUUCCCCUGGAGAAGAGGAAAAGCAAACCUUCAUUGAGACCCAAGCGGUCUCUCCUGUGCUCUGUGACAAUAAUAAAGUUCCAGCCCUUGGCAAAAAAAAAA